AGGCAGGCGAGGUAAUGGAAAAGAAGAAAUUUGGAUGUAGAACCAGACUCAAUUUCCCAGUCUUGCUCCUGGGUAUGUGGUCUGUUGACUAUCUUCCUCCCAAAUCCUCCACUCUUGUUUUCUUGUUAUCUGCGAAGCUGGAAGUCAGAGGACUCUGAUGCCCUAGGUGAUGGCGGAGAUACAAGAUUGAAGGAGCCUGGGUCCCGAGUCAUUGCUUGGAAAGAGCCAUACAGCAGGGCCA
This 241-nucleotide long non-coding RNA is filed under the name Homo sapiens (human). Its description in RNAcentral is "HSALNT0319171". Lineage: Eukaryota; Metazoa; Chordata; Mammalia; Primates; Hominidae. The record is from RNAcentral.